AGCAGCCGCGGUAAUUCCAGCUCCAAUAGCGUAUAUUAAAGUUGCUGCAGUUAAAAAGCUCGUAGUUGAAUUUCGGGACUAAUAUGUUGGUCGUGCCUCGGUACGUACUGAUAUUUUUGGUUUCUCCCUUCUGACGAACCUUGAUGUCAUUAAUUUGGUGUCUUAGGAAAUCAGGACUGUUACUUUGAAAAAAUUAGAGUGUUUAAAGCAGGCUCACGCUUGAAUACAUUAGCAUGGAAUAAUGAAAUAGGACGUUUGAUUCUAUUUUGUUGGUUUCUAGGAUUGACGUAAUGAUUAAUAGGGAUAGUUGGGGGCAUUAGUAUUCAAUUGUCAGAGGUGAAAUUCUUGGAUUUAUUGAAGACUAACUACUGCGAAAGCAUUUGCCAAGGAUGUUUUCAUUAAUCAAGAACGAAAGUUAGGGGAUCGAAGACGAUCAGAUACCGUCGUAGUCUUAACCAUAAACUAUGCCGACUAGGGAUCGGAUGAUGUUAAUUUUUUAAUGACUCAUUCGGCGCCUUAC
Molecule: ribosomal RNA, 520 nt
Filed under: uncultured Glomus
Lineage: Eukaryota; Fungi; Glomeromycota; Glomeromycetes; Glomerales; Glomeraceae
Description: SSU rRNA
Rfam family: Eukaryotic small subunit ribosomal RNA
Source: RNAcentral